Non-coding RNA from Rattus norvegicus (Norway rat), 4807 nucleotides. The record is from RefSeq and is a predicted model, not a curated record. Lineage: Eukaryota; Metazoa; Chordata; Mammalia; Rodentia; Muridae.
UAAAGGAGUCCUCGGAAUUCUCCUUUGUCCAUUCUGCCUCUGAGUGAGGGCAGGAUAUCAGAAGAAGGGUGGUUAUGAACUACUAGAGCUUUGUGGACUGACAGGAGGCUAAUCCGAAGAGAUAGAAAAUAGUAGCAAGGAGACAGGGGCUCCUCAGAGUAAAUGAGGUAUCAGAGCAGGCACUGAAAGUACAUGGCAUUUGUAUAAUCAUGCCCUCAUCUUCCUGAAUAGCAAAUCUUGAAGUAAAUGGUUACUAUGUACUAUAUUUUCUGCAACAUGGUCUGCUACCUCUCCGAAGACUCAAGCAAUGGGGAUGACCAAUCCUGGACUGGAAUUUCUAAAACAAACCCUUCUUCUUUGGAAGCCAAGUGCCUCAGACAUCUUGUCACAGCAACAGAAAUGUGACCAAUAGACAGCUAUCUUUCAAUCAUUCUCUAAGGAUGGGGUGGCAAAUUUGGCUUGGUUGAUGGGAUGAUGGCUCAGAUUCAGUCACACAUUCUCCAAAGUUCCAACAUCAGUGACCAGAAACUUGAGGUCAGCAUGAAAUGACAGCAGGAUUUAUCCAGCAAGAGCAAGCAAGGAGAAGACACACACCAAGGGUUCAUUUUUGACGAUGGACACAUGGAGGUGCCAAACACAGUUGUGAGGAGGGCGACUGUUGAGAGAGGGCCGGGCCAAAGCUUCUAGGGAGUCCCACUGCCAGCAGGAGCAGAGAAAUGUGGCUGAGCCUCACAGGGAAAAUUACUUUUGUUUUGUUUUGCUUCAAUUGGGACCAACAUUUUCAGGCUUCUGUGCAAGCCAAGAAUGAGCAUGGUGACUAAUGAGACUGGCAGCCAGGGUGACACCAGGCAGGGAGGCCUCAGUAAGACAUUCAAGGCAAUUGAGUUUUGAUUAGAGCAGCGGGGGACUGUUGAGAGUUUAAGCAGAGCAGUUUUGCAAGAGAAAAAUUAUAUUUUGAAGACAACUUCCUGCCUGCAAAGAACACAAUGGAUUGAAAAAGAGCUGAAACCAUUGCAGGUGAAAUCCGUAACAUGCCUAGGAAUGUGAUAGGCAUUUUAUACAUUAGUUCCUCCAUCUUUACCAUGAGCUCUCAAGGUGGGUGAUCUCCUGAGACUCAAUGUACAAGUCAGGGUCUGGAGACUCCAGGUGCUUCAGGGACUUACUCAAAGAUACCACAGUGCUGGGACCUCAGAGACAGAGUCAGGGCUAACAUCCAGGCUGUUAGAGCCAGGCCUCUGAACACAUGUGCUCCUGGCCAUAUCUUUAUGUGCUUGUUAGAUUGAAGAGGUUUGUAGACAUUGCCUAGUUCAGACCCAGAGGGAAACAGAAUUUGAAGCAUUAAGGAGAAAUAUCUUGUAGAUGGAGUCAUAGUUUAGUGCGCUGGGGGGAUGUUGCUAUUUAAAGUCCAAUUCAGUAAUCCUUUGUAAAGUCAAAAAUCCUUCUGUAAAGCAAAUAGUUCACUCUCCCAUUUAGCAGGGGAGAACAUUGUUCUCCAAACAUCAAGCAAAUCCAUAAAACUGAAAGACAUCCAAUGAUGUUCUUAUUGUUAAAUGAGUGGAGAUAUGGCGAAGUUGUUUCGAAAGAAAUGGGAUCAAGAGACCAGCCUUGGUAUGGACUAGAUGCUAUACUUUAAAUUUUUCCAGUAUGUCAGUUAAAAAGGCGUGUUAGCCUUCAUUUUAAGAAUCUGUGCUGAACAGAAUAUUAAUUUCUUCAUUGUAUAUUUUGCCACCUAAGAAUAUUUUUAUCCCAAUUGAAGCAAGGGCUCUAGGGGGACUGUAAAUUUCAAGACCUCACCUGCACAGGUUUUCCCACACUGGGUAUAUUUGUCUAGUCAAUCAGAGCUAUGUAACCUUGUACUUCGAUGCCUUCCUUUAUGGUUUGUGUGUUAGAGAAUAAAGUAAAGCUAAGAUUCAAACAACAUGAAUUCAUAAGGAAAGAGUCUAUAUAUAACUCAAACCAGAGAAGCACCAUAUAAAGUAAACAAAGAGAAGUAGGCUAGUAUCCAAUGAUUUGUAUAUGCUUGGCCCAGGGAGUGGCACUAAUAGGAGGUGUGGCCUCUUUAAGUAGGUGUGUCACUAAAGGCAUGGACUUUUGUCCUAGCUGCCUUCAGAUGAAGAGGUAGAGCUCUGAGCUCCUCCUGCACCAUGCCUGCCCAGAUGCUGCCAUGCUCUCACAUUGAUGAUAAUGGACUGAACCUCUGAACCUGUAAGCCAGCCCCAAUGAAGUGUUGUCCUUGUAAGAGUUGCCUUGGUCAUGGUAUCUGUUCACAGCAAUCAAACCCUACCUAGGACACCAAGUUCUAUUUCUGUUGCUGCAAUAAAAUAUCCUGACAAAAGCAAAUUAUAGAAGCUGUUUAUUUCCUCUUACAAUUCCAGGUUACAUUUCAUCAUUGUGGGGAAGUCAAGGUAAGAAUUUAAAAUAGCUAGUCAUAUCAUGGCUGUAGAUAAGAACAAAGUGAAAUUGAUGUGUACAUGCUUGCUUGCUUGCUUGGGCUCAGCUCAAUCUCUUCACUCACAUAUAGUUUAGGCCUCAGAGCAGGUGCUGCCCACAGUAGACUGACCUUUUCAACAUCAAUUUAAUUAAGACAAUCUCCCACAGACAUAUCCAUAGACAAUCUCUUAUUGAUACCCUCUUCCCAGGUUAUUGUAGGUUGUGCCAAGUUGACAAUUAAAUCUAAACACAACAGCUAACCAUAUCCAACUUCUGCACGAUCAUCCCCUUUGAACUAGCUGGAUUCAUUAAGCAACAUAUUUUUUCUCUUCUGUAUACUUCAGGUCUCACUUCUAAAAGGUGAGUAAUACUACCUGCUCCUCCUCAGUGUAGCAGAGACGACUCUUGAAUCAGUUAGAUAUUGUGGCAUAACAAAUGACACAGAACCACUGCCCAUUAAAAUGAUUCUGUUGCUAGACAGUCCUGAUAGGGGGCGGUAUUCUUCUAGUCUCAGCUCUAUUCCUACUCUGUAUCUGUUCUCAGUUUCUGAGAUAGUCCUUCUCACCUGUAUGUAUGUCAUACACCAGCAACCAAUCACAUCCUUUCCUCUGAAUACCCACUACCCAUGUUAUUGGUCUAAUAUAAGAUGUUUAAAAGAAUAGUAGCUAAAAAAAACCCUUGAUUUUAUUUUGGAUCUAUUAUUGAAAUCUAGAUAUAUUUUAUUUCUGAAAAUAUAGUUUGCAUCCAAAAUAUUCCACAGUAUACCAUGUAUGUCAUUAGCAAAGAGUUUCAAAAGCAAAUGCCUGUAAUCCCUCCUGUUGGAAGCAGUAUUUCACAUCCCCAGCCAGACCCUGAAAUUUUCAAGCUUUAAUAAUCUGGUUUAACAACCCCUUAUUUGUUAUUGAGUUCUUCUUCGCUGGCUCUCAUUUUGUAAUUACUUGUAUUUCUUUUUGGAUGGUUCACCCUUUAAUUACUUUAUAUUUAAGGAGGAAAACAAUCGAGAUCAUUCAAUUCUUCUCAUGAGACCACAAUAUUUAUCCUUUUCAGGAAUAAAUACAUUGUAGAUUUCCAUGCUUAUUAAUUUUUGAUUGUAGAGAACAUCAAGUUAUGCAAGGUAUGCAGUGAAUACAUUUAAAUUCAUCACUUAAACAAAUUCCAUCAAGCCUAUUAAUGCCAAUUUGAUUAUUUCCAUUAUUAUAUCAGUAGAGAUAUUACCAGUGAUGGGUUUGUUCUGUUUCUAAAUCCAGCUGGAGAAUUAGCAUAAGCUUUUCCUUCUGUUAUUUCAAAGACAAAGAAUGUGAAAAGAAAUAAGGGUUUUAUUUUUUUUGUAGGGAGGUAGUAAGGGGAUUUAUGGGACAUUUGUGAUAUCCACAUGCUGAGGGCAGAUACCAGCAAUGUCAUUUCUAAUAGUAACCAGAAAGGAGCACUGCCUGAGUUCAGUCCUCUCCCCAUUAUUUUUAUCAAAUAGAAGUCAUUCACAACUGUGGUGAAAAAAAAUGUUUUCUGUUGUGUGUUUAAAAGCCUUCAUACAUCAUUCAUCAGGAGAAGAAACACAUUUGCUUUGACCCCGUUCACAUUGAAUAUCAAAGUUGGUAGCUAAACACCAAUUAAUCACAUUAGCCUAUGAAAUAUUCUUCAAAUACUGGGUAACAAAAGACUCCAAAGUUUAGUUUAAAAAGAAGAGCAAAGAUUUAUCAUCUCUGAUCAUGUGUCUGGGUUACAAGUACCUAGAACCUUGGCUGUGUCCUUCUGGCUCAGGCUAUCUUGCUAGACUUCUGUUAUUUGUCAGUGGGCUUGCAUUCAUGGAAAAGGCGGCUGUUAGAAGAUUAAGGUCUAAAUUAAGUUGCUCACACAACUGUUGCUGCUGGCUCUGAAGGACACUUAAGUUCUUCUCUAUAUAGCUGUCUCCAUGGGGCUACUCAAGUGUCCCCUUGAUAUAGUGACAGAGUGACAAUAUAGGAACAAAAAGCAGAGGCCAUACUUCCUUUUACUGCAUUACCUUGUUAGCAAAGUGUAGUUACUUCCAUUGUACCCUGGUUUUUAUGUACUUCAUCUCUGGUUUAAUAUAUGAAGACACAACAGGAUACAAAGAUAAAAAUUUCAGAGAUCACCUGAGGUUGUGUCAGGGGUUUCCUUCCUCUUAUGAUUACCGAGUGACAAUUGAAUACUGAAUAAAUCCUUCUGAAUCACUCACUGGAGACUGGAUACUUUAAUAAUGUAUCUGCUUGGUAUUGCGCAACCCCAUUAACAAACAGAAAGCUGGUUACUUAUAUCUUCAGACCCUGUGACUUACACUUGAGAUUUAUGCAGUGCUGUGUUAACUUUUUAUUACCUUCCCGAGAAGAGGACAGACCUUUUUUUUCCUGAUGUUUCUCUC